CCUACGGGAGGCAGCAGUGGGGAAUAUUGCACAAUGGGGGAAACCCUGAUGCAGCGACGCCGCGUGGAGGAAGAAGGUCUUCGGAUUGUAAACUCCUGUUGUUGAGGAAUGAUAAUGACGGUACUCAACAAGGAAGUGACGGCUAACUACGUGCCAGUCA
Molecule: ribosomal RNA, 160 nt
Filed under: uncultured bacterium
Lineage: Bacteria
Description: partial 16S ribosomal RNA
Rfam family: Bacterial small subunit ribosomal RNA
Source: RNAcentral